ACUGGUUUAGUAUAAAUUUUAGUGCGUGGGAUUGUAGAUUCUGAGGUAUUCUGUGGGGUUAGCCGGGG
Molecule: transfer RNA, 68 nt
Filed under: Echinochasmus japonicus
Lineage: Eukaryota; Metazoa; Platyhelminthes; Trematoda; Plagiorchiida; Echinochasmidae
Description: tRNA-Tyr
Source: RNAcentral